Molecule: long non-coding RNA, 219 nt
Filed under: Prunus persica (peach)
Lineage: Eukaryota; Viridiplantae; Streptophyta; Magnoliopsida; Rosales; Rosaceae
Description: long non-coding RNA (PPER_LNC001625)
Source: RNAcentral
AUUGCUGAAAUAUCCUCGAACUAGGAUUCUAAUCGAACUUAAUAUCCUGAAUUAAAACAUCAGUCAAUUUAGCACCUGAAUUAAUUUAAAUUGUCAAUUUUACACAUGCCGUUAGAUUUUAUGGAAUUUCAUCCAAUCUUAUGUUUAAACCCAAUCAUGUGACGCAUACAUGUGAACUAUUUGGAGGGCAAUUUUGUCCAACUAAGUCCUUUCUCUCCC